CGAAUUCAAAUCAACAAACCCUAGCGGUAGACCACAGGCCCAGCGAUCAAAACCCUAAUCAGUCCCAAGAAUGGGAGACCAUGGCCCGAGCUUGGCUCAGCGCAUUCCCCGAGGCCAAAGCCGUGAGCACCACCGAGGUCGAGGCUUGGAUCGANGUCUAACCGUGGCUCCUUGCCGGCUGACCUCCAGUCCAUGCCUCGAGCAGACCUCAUUGAUCGCCUCCUUGCAAUUCAAAAUUACAUGAGGUUGCCCAAUCAGGCAACAGAAGUGACUCAGGUUGAUCUUCCGCAUGCUCGAUUUCAACGAACAGAUCAAUGGCUACCGGUUUACUCCUGGUUGGAAUCUUUAGAUAAUGAUGAGGUGGUCAAGUCUAAAGAUAUUUCUGAUUGGUUGACUGAAAAUCCAGAGGUUAAAGAACAGCUAUGCUCCAGGCAUACUCGAUACCAUUUGAUGCACUACAUUAAAAAGUGUCAUUUGAAGAUACUAAAGAGGAGGGAAAGGAAGAAGGGAUUGCAGAAGACUGACAAAUCAACCUCUCCUAAAGUUCAGAAGAUUGUGGAUUCUAAAGCGCCAUCAUCACUUCCAAGAAAUCCUUUGAACAAUAUAACUAAGGAUAGUGACUUAUACUUGGCCAAACAAAAUGAGGCUCUUCGUAAAUAUCAGAUUUUGGUGGAGUUGGAGAAGACGCUUUCCCCUCACUUCUCAAAGCGUCAGGCUGUGCACAAAUGAAGCAAUGAUGAGUUUUCUGCCUAUAUAGAUGUGAAUCAGCUGAGGUGGGGGUUCCUCUUUAUUUUUUCCUGCCUUUUUCCCUUUUUAUAGCCUAAUUAUGAGUCCUUUUAUUAUUAUUAUUAUUUGUAAGUAACUAAGGGUGAUUCUCUUGAAUGUACCACAAGCUUUUGAAAAGACUGAUCUCUUCAUUAGAUAUGACGUUAAGACAUCUGUUGAUGUGAAAAUGUUU
This 958-nucleotide unclassified non-coding RNA is filed under the name Hevea brasiliensis (rubber tree). The record is from RNAcentral. Lineage: Eukaryota; Viridiplantae; Streptophyta; Magnoliopsida; Malpighiales; Euphorbiaceae.